Molecule: long non-coding RNA, 1637 nt
Filed under: Eucalyptus grandis
Lineage: Eukaryota; Viridiplantae; Streptophyta; Magnoliopsida; Myrtales; Myrtaceae
Description: long non-coding RNA (EGRA_LNC001025)
Source: RNAcentral
GAAUACGUUGGGUCUUUCAAGAGCCACGAAGACUCAAAGGUGCUAGAAUGUCAGGGUAGAACCCAACCCUUGAUAGUUCCAACUCAAAACUUUCAUAUAUUCCCCCAUGGCUUGUUAGGAUUUGCCACCAAAGCUCAUUAUUGUACCCCCCCCCCCCCCCUUCCCUCCCUCUUCCAUCAUUAUGGGUGUUUCAAGGAGUUAGAGCCUCAUCAAUAACAUUUGAGUCCCUCUCAUAGCCACUAUAUAGCUUGAAUUUUCUCAUCUUUUUGCUUUCUGGGGUUUUGUAGGCCUUCCUUCUUUGCUUGGACAACUCGGAGAGGACAUUAGCAAGGGUUUCCGACUAGGGAGAAUCUGAGAGUAGGAGCUAGGUGCCUUUGCUUCUCUUUCCUUUUGCUAUCAUUAUCGUCUCGGUUAUGCCUUCUCCCUUUAACUUAGAUGAGUCUACUAGAUGAAUCUCCAUGCAAUCCCCCUGUUGUUGAUCGGCAUUCUCUAUGGAGGUAGGUUACUCCAUGGUGCAGGCCUAUGCUGGUGUUUCAGGGUUAGUUUCCUCCUCCUUAGGGAUGGGAAAUUUUUCCUCAUAAUACAAUUUCCACAUUCUCCCCAUUCUUUUACAAAGGGCAGCAAACCGAGCUCCUUAUACUCUUUUUCCAUGGUUUAAUGACUAGCAGGAGCAAGAUAAGAGCAACGCAUCCACGCUGAGCAGAACAACACGAAGGGACAAGCACAUUGAUGGAUGGACAAGUAUAAGCCCAAUAAUCAUUGUCGAUCAGCUGAGGGAACAAGUAUUUAUGGAUGGAGGGAGCUUUAAGCUUCGUAAAUUAGUAUAAGGGUCUCAUGAGCAAAUGCUAGCUAUCAUUGAAACAAGCCUUUUGUGGUCAGGGUUUUGGUUUGGGGGCCUAAUGAAGUUGCAGUUGAGGUAAGGGGAUACUUCAUGACUUGUAACUGGAUUCGGCAAGAAAUGGGCAGAGGAUGCUAGGGUGUUGGUGGGAGGGAUGUUCAUUUGGUUUGUGGCUCUCGGCUGAAAUAUGGGUAGAUGAGGAUGAAAGGUGAUGGGUAGAGGUCCAUUGAAGUAGGGCUGCUAGGUUUUCUUAAAGUAUUCUAUCACCAUGAAUAGGGCUCUUUCAAAGAAGAGAGGAAACUCUCACAUGAAGAAGAAGAGACCGCUUGCCCCGGAUUAGAGUUGAAAUACUUCAAAGGGAGCAAAGGCAAAAAUAUAACUUGGAUGUUGAAAAACAUCAUGUGGUGAAAGUCUGAUCAUGACCCACUUGGAUUAUCUUGCUUUUUAAGAGUACUUGAACAAUACGAUGUUUUUCAUCCACAUAAUAUAAUUUUAUGUUUUUCAAGGUCGAUUUGUAGGCAAUGCUCACAAAGAGUCAUCGACUUUUUUGGUGUGCACAUCAGUAUGUAUCUUUGUCAUAGAAUUAAUCAUCACCGCGAUCUUCCUUCAGCCGAACACAAAUGAUGGUUGCUUGUUAUCAUCUUUAGCGUGUUCUUGUUCUCUCCUCUUUGCCACAUCACAAUCUUCAGCACACACUGACAUGUUGAGUCUUCGGCUUCAACCUGCUUCUCUUCUCGCUCAAAGGCUUGCCAUCUAAGCUAAAAGCCUAUAUUUGGAAUUUUCGAAGUGCUGCUUUCAG